Molecule: ribosomal RNA, 757 nt
Filed under: Vreelandella aquamarina
Lineage: Bacteria; Pseudomonadati; Pseudomonadota; Gammaproteobacteria; Oceanospirillales; Halomonadaceae
Description: bacterial SSU rRNA
Rfam family: Bacterial small subunit ribosomal RNA
Source: RNAcentral
GCACUUUCAGCGAGGAAGAACGCCUAGCGGUUAAUACCCGCUAGGAAAGACAUCACUCGCAGAAGAAGCACCGGCUAACUCCGUGCCAGCAGCCGCGGUAAUACGGAGGGUGCAAGCGUUAAUCGGAAUUACUGGGCGUAAAGCGCGCGUAGGUGGCUUGAUAAGCCGGUUGUGAAAGCCCCGGGCUCAACCUGGGAACGGCAUCCGGAACUGUCAAGCUAGAGUGCAGGAGAGGAAGGUAGAAUUCCCGGUGUAGCGGUGAAAUGCGUAGAGAUCGGGAGGAAUACCAGUGGCGAAGGCGGCCUUCUGGACUGACACUGACACUGAGGUGCGAAAGCGUGGGUAGCAAACAGGAUUAGAUACCCUGGUAGUCCACGCCGUAAACGAUGUCGACCAGCCGUUGGGUGCCUAGCGCACUUUGUGGCGAAGUUAACGCGAUAAGUCGACCGCCUGGGGAGUACGGCCGCAAGGUUAAAACUCAAAUGAAUUGACGGGGGCCCGCACAAGCGGUGGAGCAUGUGGUUUAAUUCGAUGCAACGCGAAGAACCUUACCUACUCUUGACAUCCUGCGAAUUUGGUAGAGAUACCUUAGUGCCUUCGGGAACGCAGAGACAGGUGCUGCAUGGCUGUCGUCAGCUCGUGUUGUGAAAUGUUGGGUUAAGUCCCGUAACGAGCGCAACCCUUGUCCUUAUUUGCCAGCGCGUAAUGGCGGGAACUCUAAGGAGACUGCCGGUGACAAACCGGAGGAAGGUGGGGA